UGCCAGCCGCCGCGGUAAUACGGAGGGUGCAAGCGUUGUCCGGAUUUAUUGGGUUUAAAGGGUGCGUAGGCGGCCUAUUAAGUCAGUGGUGAAAGGUAUCAGCUUAACUGAUGACGUGCCAUUGAAACUGAUAGGCUUGAGUACAGACGAGGUAGGCGGAAUUUAUGGUGUAGCGGUGAAAUGCAUAGAUAUGUCAUAGAACACCAAUUGCGAAGGCAGCUGACUAGACCUACAUUGACGCUGAGGCACGAAAGCGUGGGGAGCGAACAGGAUUAGAUA
This 279-nucleotide ribosomal RNA is filed under the name uncultured bacterium. RNAcentral describes it as "partial 16S ribosomal RNA". It matches the Rfam family "Bacterial small subunit ribosomal RNA", at positions 506 to 784 of the family's 1533-position model. The record is from RNAcentral.